Molecule: long non-coding RNA, 158 nt
Organism: Hibiscus syriacus
Lineage: Eukaryota; Viridiplantae; Streptophyta; Magnoliopsida; Malvales; Malvaceae
Exons: 3
Source: RefSeq, a predicted model, not a curated record
CUUCAGUUAUUUUAUCUGGUACGUUGGUUCCUAAUCGAUUUUCUUUCCCUUAAACUAGAUGAUCAAACUGAUUACUUUCACGAUUGGUGGCCAUGGGUAUCUGAACUUCAUGGGGGAACGAAUUCGGGCAUCCAAAAAGGAUUGAGGUUCCAUGGCAA